GGGAUCAAGGUGUUAGCGGCAGCACAUUCGGUUCUUACCCGAUCGGUGACGGUUCAAGUCCGUCUGAUCCCA
RNAcentral lists this transfer RNA (72 nucleotides) under Planctomycetaceae bacterium. RNAcentral describes it as "tRNA-Lys". It matches the Rfam family "tRNA". From Rfam's summary of the family: Transfer RNA (tRNA) molecules are approximately 80 nucleotides in length. The record is from RNAcentral. Lineage: Bacteria; Pseudomonadati; Planctomycetota; Planctomycetia; Planctomycetales; Planctomycetaceae.